UACGUAGGUGACAAGCGUUGUCCGGAUUUACUGGGCGUAAAGAGCGCGCAGGCGGUCGUUCAAGUCGAGUGUGAAAGCCCCCGGCUCAACUGGGGAGGGUCAUUCGAUACUGAUCGACUCGAAGGCAGGAGAGGGAAGUGGAAUUCCCGGUGUAGUGGUGAAAUGCGUAGAUAUCGGGAGGAACACCAGUGGCGAAGGCGACUUCCUGGCCUGUUCUUGACGCUGAGGCGCGAAAGCUAGGGGAGCAAAC
RNAcentral lists this ribosomal RNA (250 nucleotides) under uncultured bacterium. Its description in RNAcentral is "partial 16S ribosomal RNA". It matches the Rfam family "Bacterial small subunit ribosomal RNA", at positions 524 to 773 of the family's 1533-position model. The record is from RNAcentral.